Zonotrichia albicollis (white-throated sparrow) is the source of this 1456-nucleotide non-coding RNA. NCBI's taxonomy places the organism in Eukaryota, Metazoa, Chordata, Aves, Passeriformes, Passerellidae. The record is from RefSeq and is a predicted model, not a curated record.
UAAAAUGAAAAACUGUUUAGAAGCUUCAGCAUGUUUCCCAAAACCUUUGCAGCUUAGAUAAUCUGCUUUGCACACAGACUGAUGCUAACACUGUCAGGACUAUAGUAACUCCUCUCCCUACAUAUUUUGCAUUUAUUAGUUACCCAAUAAUACAGAAAUAGCUCUUAAAGAAAGGACCAUAUCCAAAACCCAACUGGUCAUGGUUCUGGAAAUCCUGCUCUAGAUGAGCCUGCUUGAGGAGGAGACUAGACCAGAUCAUCCUAAAAGGUCCCUUGAAACCUCAACAGCUCUGUGACCAGAACAUGCGAUUCUUCUCUUCUAGAACGUACUUCUCUUCUGGAGAACAUACUAGAACUAGAACUCCAGACUAAAGGGCCAAGUAGUGUGAACCUAACACAGCAGACCACAAAGUCACUGAAAUGCAUUCAGUGUGAAGUUUUUAUAAGGACUCUACAGAUACAGAAGUGACUUUUCACUAAUUUGGGGAGAGUGACUUAAUUUCCUGGCUAAUGUACAUGUUUUGGACCUGUAGUCAACGAGCCAGAAUGGACUGUAAAGGAGAGGAAUCAGAAUAAAGAAAAUGUUUUGAACAAAGAGACACUCAUGUCCUGGGUCACACCUUCUUUCUGCACAUACAAAUCCUGUGCCAGCUGGGAAACCUCUCAACAGGAGCAAGCACACACCACUGGAACAGCUCAUUGACAGUCAGUUUGACACAUCAUGAACAUGCAGCAAACUCUAAAUGUGCUUCUGAUGGACGAAGAACUUUGCCACUAUGUUCACCAUGAGAGCACCUUGAGAAGUCUGACAAGCUGCUUUUUGGCUUUCGUCCUAUUGACUACUGACCUACAGAUUAGCACCCCCUCACAGCCCUGCAAAAGAAAAGAACCACAGGCUCCAAAAAUCCACCAUCUUCUGUGGCUGAGUGACACACGAGCACAGCAUUGGUGGCUUAUAAGUGUCAUUCAACCUUUGAAGAAGCCACGUGUAUUUCUUACAUCUUCUACCCAGUCUGUAACUCAGCCACAUGUCCAUCAUACCCUUGUGAAAGGUCCUAUCAAGCAUGGUGUCCCCAGAUUACUUUUUGUCCUUUAUACUUCAAAACAAGCUUAACAGUUAGUUAAUCGCUCCUUCUGCAACAGCUACAGCAGAAUAAGUGACAUGAUUGUGACAAAUUUGAAUUCAAAAAGAAGUUCAUGGAAGAAUUUGAAGUUAAGCAAGGACAGCAAACAUUUAGGCUGAAUGUUAAACUGUUCAUGCAAAGUGCCAAAUACAUUCAGUUAUCUUUUGCUAAAAUAUAACAAUCAGCUUUUUUCUUUACCCCAUUGGUAUGGUGUUCUCUAGGUUUCCUAAAUUCAUCUAUGCCUUGCUUUCUGCUCAAUGGCAUGAAAUAUUUGAGCAAGAAAGCUUAACUUUCUGAGGUCUGUGUUGAUUGCUGGAGGACACCUGUGCAGAA